RNAcentral lists this transfer RNA (76 nucleotides) under Candidatus Afipia apatlaquensis. RNAcentral's name for it is "tRNA-His". It matches the Rfam family "tRNA". Rfam says of the family: Transfer RNA (tRNA) molecules are approximately 80 nucleotides in length. Their secondary structure includes four short double-helical elements and three loops (D, anti-codon, and T loops). Lineage: Bacteria; Pseudomonadati; Pseudomonadota; Alphaproteobacteria; Hyphomicrobiales; Nitrobacteraceae. The record is from RNAcentral.
GUGGGUGUAGUUCAAUUGGCAGAGCGCCAGGUUGUGGCCCUGGAGGUCGCAGGUUCGAAACCUGUCACCCACCCCA